Molecule: ribosomal RNA, 795 nt
Filed under: Fomitiporia chilensis
Lineage: Eukaryota; Fungi; Basidiomycota; Agaricomycetes; Hymenochaetales; Hymenochaetaceae
Description: partial large subunit ribosomal RNA
Rfam family: Eukaryotic large subunit ribosomal RNA
Source: RNAcentral
UAACAAGGAUUCCCCUAGUAACUGCGAGUGAAGCGGGAAGAGCUCAAAUUUAAAAUCUGGCAGUCUCCUGGCUGUCCGAGUUGUAAUCUGGAGAAGCGUUUUCUGUGUUAGACCGUGUACAAGUCUCCUGGAACGGAGCGUCAUAGAGGGUGAGAAUCCCGUCCAUGACACGGACUACUAAUACUUUGUGAUACGCUCUCGAAGAGUCGAGUUGUUUGGGAAUGCAGCUCAAAAUGGGUGGUAAAUUCCAUCUAAAGCUAAAUACAGGCGAGAGACCGAUAGCGAACAAGUACCGUGAGGGAAAGAUGAAAAGCACUUUGGAAAGAGAGUUAAACAGUACGUGAAAUUGUUGAAAGGGAAACGCUUGAAGUCAGUCGCGUUGUGCAGAACUCAGCCUUGCCUCGGCUUGGUGUACUUUCUGCACAACGGGUCAACAUCAAUUUUGGCCCAUGGAGAAAGGUGGGGGGAAUGUAGCGCUGUUUCGGCAGCGUGUUAUAGCCCUCCACUGUAUACAUGGGCUGGGAUUGAGGAACGCAGCACGCCCUUGUGGCCGGGGGUUCGCCCCACGUACCGUGCUUAGGAUGUUGGCAGAAUGGCUUUAAGCGACCCGUCUUGAAACACGGACCAAGGAGUCUAACAUGCUUGCGAGUGUUCGGGUGGAAAACCCUUGUGCGUAAUGAAAGUGAAAGUUGGGAACCUCCGCAAGGGGGUGCACCGACGCCCGGCCCUGACGUUCUCUGACGGUGCUGCGGUACAGCAAGUAUGCUAGGACCCGAAAGAUGGUGAACUAUGCCU